CCUACGGGCGGCAGCAGUGGGGAAUAUUGCGCAAUGAGCGAAAGCCUGACGCAGCGACGCAGCGUGCGGGAUGAAGGUCUUCGGAUCGUAAACCUCUGUCAGCAGGGAAGAACGGUCACUAUGCUAAUCAGCAGUAAAUUGACGGUACCUGCAAAGGCAGCACCGGCUAACUCCGUGCCAGCAGCCGCGGUAAUACGGAGGGUGCGAGCGUUAACCGGAAUUACUGGGCGUAAAGCGCUCGUAGGCGUUAUGUCAAGUCAAGGGUGAAAUCCCCGCGCUCAACGUGGGAACUGCCUUUGAAACGAGCAAACUGGAGUGUGUGAGAGGAUAGUGGAAUUCCAGGUGUAGGGGUGAAAUCCGUAGAUAUCUGGAGGAACAUCAGUGGCGAAGGCGACUAUCUGGCACAUAACUGACGCUGAGGAGCGAAAGCGUGGGUAGCAAACAGGAUUAGAUACCCGGGUAGUC
This 465-nucleotide ribosomal RNA is filed under the name uncultured bacterium. RNAcentral's name for it is "partial 16S ribosomal RNA". It matches the Rfam family "Bacterial small subunit ribosomal RNA", at positions 338 to 795 of the family's 1533-position model. The record is from RNAcentral.